RNAcentral lists this ribosomal RNA (377 nucleotides) under Holascus euonyx. RNAcentral's name for it is "partial 16S ribosomal RNA". It matches the Rfam family "Bacterial large subunit ribosomal RNA", at positions 1808 to 2530 of the family's 2925-position model. The record is from RNAcentral. Lineage: Eukaryota; Metazoa; Porifera; Hexactinellida; Lyssacinosida; Euplectellidae.
CAAAAACAUAGCUAAUAGAAAAAAUUAUUAUUAGUAAUGCCUGCUCAAUGGAAAUAGCCGCGGUAACACCUGACCGUGCAAAGGUAGCAUAAUAAACCGCCUACUAAUUAUAGGAUAGAAUGAAGGUAAAACGAAGACCCAACUGUCUCAAGACCCUAAAAUUAAAAAUAGAAUGUGUGUGCAAAUCCACACUAAAACGGCAAGACGACUAGACCCUAAGAACUUUAAGUUCUAAGUUUCGUUGGGGCAACGAUCUUUAAAAAAGUAACUAAGACAAAACCCAUUAAUCACUUAAUGGAAAAAAAUAAAAGUUCCUUAGGGAUAACAGCGUUAUAUCGUUCUUUAGAAAAUCUUCAAACGAUGUUUGCGACCUCGAU